Long non-coding RNA from Pseudopipra pipra, 448 nucleotides. RefSeq lists it as uncharacterized. The record is from RefSeq and is a predicted model, not a curated record. The transcript has 2 exons. NCBI's taxonomy places the organism in Eukaryota, Metazoa, Chordata, Aves, Passeriformes, Pipridae.
AUUGGCAGUGCAUCUUGACAAUGGUUUGGCAAGGGUCUGCAAUUUCAGAACCUGCUGAGUGGCAGGCCUUGCUGCAUAAGACUAAGGCCAAGGCAGAUGGACCCAGAGUGCAGAAAAUUGCUGCAAGUCAGGAGCAAGACAGCAGCUGAGCAAAAGAUAUUGAUGAAAGUGCUCUGGAGUCCAAGAACAUAGAAAGCACUGGUGAUUCUAGGUGAUAACAGAACAACAAAAGAAGAAGAGACCACAUCGUUCAGGCACCUGAAUUCACAGAUGCUUUGAUCCACAUCCCAAGUGCAAAGCAGUUGAGCAUCCUUCUAGUUCAAUUUCCCUUCCCUGAUUUUUGCUAAAUUUCUAAAAGAAUGGAUUAUUAAGUGUAUUUUCAUGCCUGGUCAAAUUAAAAAUGUUACUUUUAAGUAACAUUCUGUAAAUCUGGAGAAAAUACACAUUC